UACGGAGGAUGCAAGCGUUAUCCGGAAUGAUUGGGCGUAAAGCGUCCGCAGGUGGCUGUGUAAGUCUGCUGUUAAAGAGUGAGGCUCAACCUCAUAAAGGCAGUGGAAACUACAUGGCUAGAGUGCGUUCGGGGCAGAGGGAAUUCCUGGUGUAGCGGUGAAAUGCGUAGAGAUCAGGAAGAACACCAGUGGCGAAGGCGCUCUGCUAGGCCGCAACUGACACUGAGGGACGAAAGCUAGGGGAGCGAAUGGG
RNAcentral lists this ribosomal RNA (253 nucleotides) under uncultured bacterium. RNAcentral describes it as "partial 16S ribosomal RNA". It matches the Rfam family "Bacterial small subunit ribosomal RNA", at positions 524 to 776 of the family's 1533-position model. The record is from RNAcentral.